RNAcentral lists this ribosomal RNA (253 nucleotides) under uncultured bacterium. RNAcentral describes it as "partial 16S ribosomal RNA". It matches the Rfam family "Bacterial small subunit ribosomal RNA", at positions 524 to 776 of the family's 1533-position model. The record is from RNAcentral.
UACGUAGGGUGCGAGCGUUGUCCGGAAUUAUUGGGCGUAAAGAGCGUGUAGGCGGCCAGGUAGGUCGGCUGUGAAAACUCGAGGCUCAACCUCGAGAUGUCGGCCGAAACCAUCUGGCUAGAGUCCGGAAGAGGAGAGUGGAAUUCCCGGUGUAGCGGUGAAAUGCGCAGAUAUCGGGAAGAACACCCGUGGCGAAGGCGGCUCUCUGGGACGGUACUGACGCUGAGACGCGAAAGCGUGGGGAGCGAACAGG